GACGGAGGGUGCAAGCGUUGCUCGGAAUUACUGGGCGUAAAGCGCGUGUAGGCUGCUCAGAAAGUCGGAUGUGAAAGCCCUGGGCUUAACCUAGGAAGUGCAUUCGAAACUUCUGAGCUUGAGUUCUGGAGAGGAAGGCGGAAUUCUCGGUGUAGAGGUGAAAUUCGUAGAUAUCGAGAGGAACACCGGUGGCGAAGGCGGCCUUCUGGACAGUGACUGACGCUGAGACGCGAAAGCGUGGGGAGCAAACAGG
Molecule: ribosomal RNA, 253 nt
Filed under: uncultured bacterium
Lineage: Bacteria
Description: partial 16S ribosomal RNA
Rfam family: Bacterial small subunit ribosomal RNA
Source: RNAcentral